RNAcentral lists this ribosomal RNA (467 nucleotides) under uncultured bacterium. RNAcentral describes it as "partial 16S ribosomal RNA". It matches the Rfam family "Bacterial small subunit ribosomal RNA", at positions 28 to 506 of the family's 1533-position model. The record is from RNAcentral.
GACGAACGCUGGCGGCGUGCUUAACACAUGCAAGUCGAACGGAAAGGCCCUGCUUUUGUGGGGUGCUCGAGUGGCGAACGGGUGAGUAACACGUGAGUAACCUGCCCUUGACUUUGGGAUAACUUCAGGAAACUGGGGCUAAUACCGGAUAGGAGCUCCUGCUGCAUGGUGGGGGUUGGAAAGUUUCGGCGGUUGGGGAUGGACUCGCGGCUUAUCAGCUUGUUGGUGGGGUAGUGGCUUACCAAGGCUUUGACGGGUAGCCGGCCUGAGAGGGUGACCGGCCACAUUGGGACUGAGAUACGGCCCAGACCCCUACGGGAGGCAGCAGUGGGGAAUAUUGCACAAUGUGCGGAAGCCUGAUGCAGCAACGCCGCGUGCGGGAUGACGGCCUUCGGGUUGUAAACCGCUUUCGCCUGUGACGAAGCGUGAGGGACGGUAAUGGGUAAAGAAGCACCGGCGAACUACGU